Molecule: non-coding RNA, 30 nt
Filed under: Cricetulus griseus (Chinese hamster)
Lineage: Eukaryota; Metazoa; Chordata; Mammalia; Rodentia; Cricetidae
Source: RNAcentral
UACUGUUGUCUGUACAUUCAUCUGUCCCUA